Stygiomarasmius scandens is the source of this 78-nucleotide non-coding RNA. The record is from the annotation of a GenBank genome assembly. NCBI's taxonomy places the organism in Eukaryota, Fungi, Basidiomycota, Agaricomycetes, Agaricales, Campanellaceae.
GGUCGUAGUAUAGCGGUUAUCAUAUGGGAUUCCGAUGAGAUCCUUCCCAUGACCCAGGUUCGACUCCUGGCAGGACCU